This 288-nucleotide signal recognition particle RNA is filed under the name Phascolarctos cinereus (koala). RNAcentral's name for it is "Metazoan signal recognition particle RNA (ENSPCIG00000014664.2)". It matches the Rfam family "Metazoan signal recognition particle RNA". From Rfam's summary of the family: The signal recognition particle (SRP) is a universally conserved ribonucleoprotein. It is involved in the co-translational targeting of proteins to membranes. The eukaryotic SRP consists of a 300-nucleotide 7S RNA and six proteins: SRPs 72, 68, 54, 19, 14, and 9. Lineage: Eukaryota; Metazoa; Chordata; Mammalia; Diprotodontia; Phascolarctidae. The record is from RNAcentral.
GCCAAGUGUGGUGGAAUACUCGGGCAAUCCCUAGCACUUGCGGAGGCUGAGGCUGGCAGAGCUCUUGAGAUUGGGAGUGCAAAGCUGCAGAGAGUUUUGCCUAUCAGUUGCCCACACUAAGUUCUGCAUUAAUAUGGUGAGCCCUCAGGAAGGGUGCUGGUUGCCUAAGGAAGGACAAACUGACCUAGAUUAGAAAAGGAGCAGGUGAAAGCUCUCAUGCUGAUUAGAGUGGGAUUGUACCUGUGAGUAGUCCUUGCACUUCUAGCCAAUGCCAGAUAGGUAGAACCU